GUGGGGAAUAUUGGGCAAUGGGGGAAACCCUGACCCAGCAACGCCGCGUGAGGGAAGAAGGUUUUCGGAUUGUAAACCUCUGUCCUUGGUGACGAAGGAAGUGACGGUAACCAAGGAGGAAGCCCCGGCUAACUACGUGCCAGCAGCCGCGGUAAUACGUAGGGGGCAAGCGUUGUCCGGAAUGACUGGGCGUAAAGGGCGUGUAGGCGGCCGAUUAAGUCUGGAGUGAAAGUCCUGUUUUCAAGGUGGGAAUUGCUUUGGAGACUGGUUGGCUUGAGUGCGGAAGAGGUAAGUGGAAUUCCCAGUGUAGCGGUGAAAUGCGUAGAGAUUGGGAGGAACACCAGUGGCGAAGGCGACUUACUGGGCCGUAACUGACGCUGAGGCGCGAAAGCGUGGGGAGCGAACAGGAUUAGAAACCCUGGUAGUCC
This 428-nucleotide ribosomal RNA is filed under the name uncultured bacterium. RNAcentral describes it as "partial 16S ribosomal RNA". It matches the Rfam family "Bacterial small subunit ribosomal RNA", at positions 354 to 796 of the family's 1533-position model. The record is from RNAcentral.